AGGCUUAAUACAUGCAAGUCGAACGGUAACAGAGAUACUUUUCGGAGAAUCUGCUGACGAGUGGCGCACGGGUGAGUAACGCGUACACAACCUACCUUUUACAGAGGGAUAGCCUUUAGAAAUGAAGAAUAAUACCUCAUAGUAUAUACUAAUCGCACGAUUUGGUAUAUUAAAGUUCCGGCGGUAGAAGAUGGGUGUGCGUUAGAUUAGCUAGUUGGUAAGGUAAGGGCUUACCAAGGCGACGAUCUAUAGGGGGCGUGAGAGCGUGAUCCCCCACACGGGUACUGAGACACGGACCCGACUCCUACGGGAGGCAGCAGUAAGGAAUAUUGGACAAUGGGCGGAAGCCUGAUCCAGCCAUCCCGCGUGCAGGAAGACGGCCCUCUGGGUUGUAAACUGCUUUUGUAUAGGACGAAACGCCUUUAUUUAUGAGGGCCUGACGGUACUAUAAGAAUAAGCAUCGGCUAACUCCGUGCCAGCAGCCGCGGUAAUACGGAGGAUGCGAGCGUUAUCCGGAAUCACUGGGUUUAAAGGGUGCGUAGGCGGGCUAAUAAGUCAGAGGUGAAAUCUGGUCGCUUAACGAUCAAAUUGCCUUUGAAACUGUAAGUCUUGAAAUAUGGUGAGGUUGGCGGAAUGUGACAUGUAGCGGUGAAAUGCAUAGAUAUGUCAUAGAACACCAAUUGCGAAGGCAGCUGACUGGCCAUUAUUUGACGCUGAGGCACGAAAGCGUGGGGAGCGAACAGGAUUAGAUACCCUGGUAGUCCACGCCCUAAACGAUG
This 779-nucleotide ribosomal RNA is filed under the name uncultured bacterium. RNAcentral describes it as "bacterial SSU rRNA". It matches the Rfam family "Bacterial small subunit ribosomal RNA", at positions 44 to 811 of the family's 1533-position model. The record is from RNAcentral.